UCUAAUAUGGCAGAAUAGUGCAAUGAAUUUAAACUUCAUAUAUAAAGAUAAACUUUUUUUAGAA
Molecule: transfer RNA, 64 nt
Filed under: Scydosella musawasensis
Lineage: Eukaryota; Metazoa; Arthropoda; Insecta; Coleoptera; Ptiliidae
Description: tRNA-Leu
Rfam family: tRNA
About the family: Transfer RNA (tRNA) molecules are approximately 80 nucleotides in length. Their secondary structure includes four short double-helical elements and three loops (D, anti-codon, and T loops). Further hydrogen bonds mediate the characteristic L-shaped molecular structure. tRNAs have two regions of fundamental functional importance: the anti-codon, which is responsible for specific mRNA codon recognition, and the 3' end, to which the tRNAs corresponding amino acid is attached (by aminoacyl-tRNA synthetases). tRNAs cope with the degeneracy of the genetic code in two manners: having more than one tRNA (with a specific anti-codon) for a particular amino acid; and 'wobble' base-pairing, i.e. permitting non-standard base-pairing at the 3rd anti-codon position.
Source: RNAcentral